RNAcentral lists this small RNA (54 nucleotides) under Xyrichtys novacula (pearly razorfish). The record is from RNAcentral. Lineage: Eukaryota; Metazoa; Chordata; Actinopteri; Labriformes; Labridae.
UAUUACAUUUACUGGAAGUCACUCUGGAAAAGAGUGUCUGCUAAAUGCCCAAAA